UAGAACCUUGUGCUAAUAAGGUCAAGGUUGUCAGUCUUUUCCUGACAUGAGCCAGCUAGCUAGUUUUGCAUGACUGUUACAGUCAUUUUCCUAUGUGACGGAGAUAGAAGGGACCGAGACAUCUGGUGAGGUUAUGGACAGUGAUUGCUCUGAUUUUUUUCAGAAUGAGGAAGACUGCAUCCAGGAUACCAGGUGGCAUAGAUGGUAACCCAGAGGACAGCUUCCUGGCCCACAGAAUCGGACUGUUCUCUCUGGAAGCUCUCCUCUGCCUGCCCCUCUACCCUGCCCCCACCUCUGUCCUCUUUCUUGAUGUCCCCUGUGUCUUUUCAAAUAGGGGAGAGGGAAAGGACCCAGUGGAUCUGGCCAAUCAAGAAGGAUCAUUCCUCUAAUCAGGUCACACAAAAGCUGCCCAUCUAACCCAGCUGGCUUCUCAGCCUUUUGCCCGGAGAACAUUGUGUUUCAUAAGAGUGGAGCUGACUUCCCAAGGCAAUAGGAAGGGAGGCCAUCCAAUAAAGUGAAGACACAUCAGUUUUGUACUGACGUUUUCCCCAGGCAAGCAGCCUGGCCUGAUUGCUGGGGACCUGGUUAGGAGGCAAGGCAGUAGAAAAAGAAAUCUGUCUUACUGACUCAUGGCCGGCAGGGGGAGGCACCAUUGCGUGUCUCACCAUGAGAAUUGGGGGUUUUGAACUGAGAAGAAUGGGGUCCAAGUUCAGAGUGGUAUUGAGCAAGAGCUAGAAGGGACUUCACUUAGCUAGAGCAGUCAACAGAAGCUAUUUGUCCUGAAGCCGAGACCUAGAUGUAAAAAAAUGUCUAAGACAAAUCCAAUUUACAAGGAUUUUUUUUGUUUGUUUUGUUUUAUUUUGUUUUUUGUUUUUUUACGCCAGGGAAGGAAGCAAUGAGCCACUAAUGCGAGAUAACCUGGAAGUAGCAAGUUUAUCCAGUACAAUAUUUCAACCAACAAUAGCUGUGUGUAACAGAAUCAUGGAAUUAGAAAAGCAUUUUCAUUGGUGAAGUGAACCCUGGAUUUGGACUCUAUACAUAUGGACUGGUGUCUGAAUUCUGGUUUUGUCCUUCUCUACCUGUGUGACCAGAGGUCUUCCCUGGAUCUGUUUUCUUAUCUGAAAAAGAAGGGAUUAGACUAGUUUCUCUUCUAUUUUAAAUCUAUGAUUUUUUACAGAAACUUAAUCAAUAAAGUGGGGACAGCUUGUUAUUUCAUUGUUAUAGAUUCUUCCCCAGGUGAGGAAAUUUCCUCUACCAAUGCAGGUCAGCACCUUUGAGCAACUUGGAGCCUUAAGGAAUUCGGGUGAACACUGACUUGCCCAGGAUUGCAUAAUGUAUGUCAGAAAGACAGGCUCUGAAUUCUGGUCCUUUCUAAAUGAAGCCAGUCCUCUCUACUUGUGGGCAGCUAGGUGGCUCAGUGAAUAGAUACAAUCAGGAAGACCUGAAUUCAAAUCCAUCUCAGACACUUACUAGCUGAGUGACCUGGGACAAGACUAUUUGUCUCACUUUUCUCCUCUGUAAAAUGAGCUAGAAAAAGAAAUGACAAACCACAUUUUUGCCAAGAAAACCCCAAUGGGGUUAUGAAGAGUCAGAUAUGACUGAAUAGAAGCCAGACUUCCUCUUCCUAACUCCUUAAAAAAAUGUGCAUUUUUACAAUUCUGUCUUCCAAGGCAAGUGCAUGUUUAUUCUGUAAAAAGCCUCAUUACAUAUAUAUUGUCGCUGCAGCAGACAAUAUGCCAUAUAAGUCAUAUGGAUAUCCCUCUACCUUGGGGAAAAAUACAGCAUAAUGGAUAGUGUACUAGACUUGGAACUUGGAAGGCUCAUUUCCACGUAAUCCAGAUACAAGUUGGAAGAUUCAUCUUGUACUUAAAUUUACCUACUUUUUACAGUGUUGAUCUAAGGACAAAAGAAGAUGUCUGUGAAAGAAAUUAUAUGAUGCCUGCCAAAUCACUGAGCCUCAGUUUCCUCAUUUGUAAAAUGAGGAUUUUACAUUGUAAUAUAAUUGUAAUGUAAUGUAAAUUGUAAAAUGGCAAGUUUGCAAAGCACUCUGCCAAAUUUAAAGUGCUUUAUAGCCUCUGUUGGAAGUGAGUCCUUGAAUAUUAGUCUCUUGCAAAAGUAGCCCCAGAGGAUGGACGCUGGCUGGAGUCAAUAUUGACGUGCUUCUCCUCUGUGGGAACUAUGUCCAGAUGCAUUAUUUCCUGGGCUCAUUAAGAGCUCACAGCCCAAGGUAUAGAGUCAGUUUCCUUCUUUCCAGGUUCCUUCUUGGAAUGUAUUACAUUGGAGAAAUCCCGGCAAUGGAUGGCGAUGAAAUUACAGAUCAGGAGGGAAAGUCAUAACAUGUGGUGUGUGAGGUCAGAUGGGAUGAAAGGGGAAACCUCUCAUUCUGAAUCCCCGACCUGGGAACCUCUGCCAGCUUUCUCCUCCAGUUUCCCAAUUGCCUUCCAGUUGAAUGCUGUCCAUUGGCCAACUGGGUGGCUUCUCUUUACACUGGAAAUUUCCGUGGAAUUUGCAAUACCACCUUAUGUUUCUAGAGGAGUUCAAAAUACUUGUGACCUUCAGUGAACUCUUAUAUCCUCCAUCUUCUGUUCUAUGCUAUAAAGGUACUCCGUUCGACUCUCCCUUCUUGAGUUUGAAUGGAGCAAAUUUUAUUUAUUUAUUUUUUUACACCUACAUCAUCCCCUUGGCCCUUGACUAAAAUAGUGCACAAGCAAGUUUCCUUAUCUGAUCAGUAACUCUCUUCUUGCAAACCUCUAUAGUGGUGUAUGGGGCAAGGUGGGUUAGUUGAAAGAGUCUCAGAAAUGGGGAGAGGGAAGGAAGAAGGAAUAAAUUUUGUAACUCAAAACUUGAAAUAAAAAUGUUAAAAAUUAAUUAACCCCCCUAAAUCCGUUAGCCAAGCUAACAAUAGCUUUGGAGACACAAGCAGUACUUUAGAGGGGACUAGGUCCUUCUCUCCUAGCACAGUACAGACAGUCCUCUGUGUCACUAACACCAGCAUUGCUCUCCACCACCACCACCCCCACCUUGAAUUUGCAGUAAUUCCUAGAGGUGACUCUGUUGGAAAUAUAAAACUAUAAGUGUUAGUUAUUUUGCUGGAAGAGCAAGUUUGGGAACUACAAUUCUCAGCCAUCUUUGUCUCUAUUAUCUUCCCCAUAGCUAGGGAUAUAAACAUACUCUGUCUGCUUGGCAGAUGGAUUUUUUUUCCCUUGCCUGGUUUUUGAAUGGCAGAGUCCUAAGAGGCAACAGGUGAAUAGCAGUGACCCGGACACCAUGAACCUCAGCUUACAUAACUACCCCCUCGGCCAAACCGUCAAGCAGUCUCCAGACGCUACACAAGAAAACAUGUCUUCUCAUCAUCUGAUACAUGUCCAGGCUGAGGACAUGACACAUAAUUUCGCUUCCCUGCCAAAUACCUGUCCAUGGUCAUGAAUGCUUUGCCUGCAAAACGAGUCCGCCUGUUGGUGGAAAGGAAUCUCCUGGGUCUUGGAACCUUCCAGUUGGCACUACACAAACACAAAGAGCAAUGUGUACGGAGAGGGAUGAGGGGGGGCUAAUGGGGAAUAAUGCAGCC
This is a long non-coding RNA of Antechinus flavipes (yellow-footed antechinus), 3568 nucleotides long. RefSeq lists it as uncharacterized. Lineage: Eukaryota; Metazoa; Chordata; Mammalia; Dasyuromorphia; Dasyuridae. The record is from RefSeq and is a predicted model, not a curated record. The transcript has 3 exons.